Molecule: small nuclear RNA, 30 nt
Filed under: Arabidopsis thaliana (thale cress)
Lineage: Eukaryota; Viridiplantae; Streptophyta; Magnoliopsida; Brassicales; Brassicaceae
Description: snRNA_14595
Source: RNAcentral
AGGAGUCUGACAUGUGUGCGAGUCAACGGG